This 245-nucleotide ribosomal RNA is filed under the name uncultured Intestinimonas sp. RNAcentral's name for it is "partial 16S ribosomal RNA". It matches the Rfam family "Bacterial small subunit ribosomal RNA", at positions 524 to 768 of the family's 1533-position model. The record is from RNAcentral. Lineage: Bacteria; Bacillati; Bacillota; Clostridia; Eubacteriales.
UACGUAGGGAGCAAGCGUUAUCCGGAUUUACUGGGUGUAAAGGGUGCGUAGGCGGCCAGGUAAGUCAGAUGUGAAAUUUAGAGGCUCAACCUCGAAACUGCAUUUGAAACUAUUUGGCUUGAGUGAAGUAGAGGCAGGCGGAAUUCCCUGUGUAGCGGUGAAAUGCGUAGAGAUAGGGAGGAACACCAGUGGCGAAGGCGGCCUGCUGGGCGUUAACUGACGCUGAGGCACGAAAGCGUGGGUAG